RNAcentral lists this unclassified non-coding RNA (348 nucleotides) under Linnemannia elongata. RNAcentral's name for it is "sequence contains 5.8S rRNA gene". The stretch from base 1 to 53 matches the Rfam family "5.8S ribosomal RNA", at positions 102 to 154 of the family's 154-position model. The record is from RNAcentral. Lineage: Eukaryota; Fungi; Mortierellomycota; Mortierellomycetes; Mortierellales; Mortierellaceae.
GAACGCAUAUUGCGCUCUUUGGUAUUCCGAAGAGCAUGCUUGUUUGAGUAUCAGUAAACACCUCAAAGCUUUUGGAUUUUUUAAUCGAAAAGCUUUGGACUUGAGCAAUCCCAACACCAAUCUUUUUGAGAUCGGUGGCGGGUUGCUUGAAAUGCAGGUGCAGCUGGACAUUCUCCUGAGCUAAAAGCAUAUUCAUUUAUUCCCGUCAAACGGAUUAUUACUUUUGCUGCAGCUAACAUAAAGGGAGUUUGACCGUAUUGGCUGACUGAUGCAGGAUUUCACAAGGGUCGGCAACGAUUCUUGUUAAACUCGAUCUCAAAUCAAGUAAGACUACCCGCUGAACUUAAG